This 141-nucleotide small nucleolar RNA is filed under the name Phaseolus vulgaris (common bean). RNAcentral's name for it is "snoRNA snoR135". It matches the Rfam family "small nucleolar RNA snoR135". The record is from Rfam by way of RNAcentral. Lineage: Eukaryota; Viridiplantae; Streptophyta; Magnoliopsida; Fabales; Fabaceae.
ACAUCAAGGAUAGUGUGUAUCGGUGUUGUGUUGUGUUCAAUGCACUCUUCCAAAAGAGUUCCCUGAAACAUGGUUUUGAGAAAGUGGGCAGUUGUGUUUCAUCUUUUAUUGAGAAUCACAACAAUCAUUUUCCCUACAUCU